CCAGUCGGCUGGGCGACCGCUGCCGUCAUAUGUCGAAAGACGACGGGGGAGGAAAGUCCGGGCUCCACGGAGAAACGGUGCCGGAUAACGUCCGGCGGGGGCGACCCCAGGGAAAGUGCCACAGAAAAUAAACCGCCCCGCCUGCGGUUCGGCCGAGAGCCCGUCGAUGACCGCAUGGGCGGACAUGGGCGGCGGGCCGAAGCGCUGGCGGGGUAAGGGUGAAACGGUGGGGUAAGAGCCCACCGCGCUUCUGGCAACAGCGGCGGCAGGGCAAACCCCACCGGGAGCAAGACCGAAUAGGGACGACGUGGCGGGAAACCGCCAGCCUUUCUCCGGGCCGGUCGUCCGGGUGGGUUGCUCGAGGCGGCGCGCAAGCGCCGUCCCAGAGGAAUGGUCGCCCGGCAGUUCGCUGCCGACAGAACCCGGCUUACAGGCCGACUGGCAAC
This 446-nucleotide RNase P RNA is filed under the name Acetobacteraceae bacterium. RNAcentral's name for it is "RNase P RNA component class A". It matches the Rfam family "Bacterial RNase P class A". Rfam says of the family: Ribonuclease P (RNase P) is a ubiquitous endoribonuclease, found in archaea, bacteria and eukarya as well as chloroplasts and mitochondria. Its best characterised activity is the generation of mature 5'-ends of tRNAs by cleaving the 5'-leader elements of precursor-tRNAs. Lineage: Bacteria; Pseudomonadati; Pseudomonadota; Alphaproteobacteria; Acetobacterales; Acetobacteraceae. The record is from RNAcentral.